ACCUGCGGAGGGAUCAUUAAAGAGUUCUAUAACUCCCAAACCCAUGUGAACAUACCAUACGUUGCCUCGGCAGGUCGCGCCUACCCCGUAGCGUCCUACCCUAUAGGACCUACCCGGUAGACGCGGGUAAGCCUGCCGGCGGCCCAAGAAACUCUGUUUAGUAUUGAAUUCUGAACCUAUAACUAAAUAAGUUAAAACUUUCAACAACGGAUCUCUUGGUUCUGGCAUCGAUGAAGAACGCAGCGAAAUGCGAUAAGUAAUGUGAAUUGCAGAAUUCAGUGAAUCAUCGAAUCUUUGAACGCACAUUGCGCCCAUUAGUAUUCUAGUGGGCAUGCCUGUUCGAGCGUCAUUUCAACCCUUAAGCCCUCGUUGCUUAGUGUUGGGAGCCUACGGUACCCGUAGCUCCUCAAAGUUAGUGGCGGAGUCGGUUCACACUCUAGACGUAGUAAUUUUAUCUCGCCUAUCAGUUGGACCGGUCCCCUGCCGUAAAACACCCCCAAUUUCUAAAGGUUGACCUCGGAUCAGGUAGGAAUACCCGCUGAACUUAAGCAUAU
RNAcentral lists this ribosomal RNA (554 nucleotides) under fungal endophyte sp. P1804A. RNAcentral's name for it is "eukaryotic LSU rRNA". The stretch from base 196 to 349 matches the Rfam family "5.8S ribosomal RNA". The record is from RNAcentral. Lineage: Eukaryota; Fungi.